CCUUCGGCUCCCUCAGAUGCGCGCGAGGACCUGGUAGCCCAGGUCGAUCAGUUCCUACGAGAGGCCCUCGAGAAGCCAAGGGAGAGGCUUUCUGUGCUAAGAAUGGAGCAAGAAAUUUUGAAGUUCAUUCAUGACCCUAGUCGUACA
Long non-coding RNA from Zea mays, 147 nucleotides. RefSeq lists it as uncharacterized. NCBI's taxonomy places the organism in Eukaryota, Viridiplantae, Streptophyta, Magnoliopsida, Poales, Poaceae. The transcript has 2 exons. The record is from RefSeq and is a predicted model, not a curated record.